UAAAAAAAAACAGUAAAACCACUACUUAAACAGCAUUUACAUUGUGUUAGGUAUUGUAAAGUAAUCAAGAGAUGAUUUAACAUAUCGGUCCCACAACCUUUUUGGCACCAGGGACUGGUUUUGUGGAAGACAAUUUUUCCACCAACAGCGUGGAGGGUGUGGCAAAUGAAACUGUUCCAUCCCAGAUCAUCAGGCAUUAGUUAGAUUCCCAUAAGGAGCACGCAACCUAGAUCUCUCGGAGUUGCAGUUUACAAUAGGGCUCAUGCUCCUUUGAGAAUCUAAUGCCACUGCUGAUCAGACAGGAGGCGGAGCUCAGGCAGUAAUGUUCACUUGCCCUCUGCUCACUCCACCUGUUUGGCCUGGUUCCUAACAGGCACGGACCAGUAUGCGGCCCAGGCGUUGAGGAACCCCUGAUUUAAAGUACACAGAAGGAUGGAGGUUAGAAAUUCAAUAAGCUGCUUAUGAUGAUGGAGGCCAUGUUUCUCCAGCCAGCUACUCUGAUAUAUGGACAGUGCCUAGCACAAUGCCUGACAAAGAUGGUAUCCCACAAAAUAUGUUGGAGGCUUCAUGAACAUACAUUGAGAUUGACUGCAG
RNAcentral lists this long non-coding RNA (594 nucleotides) under Homo sapiens (human). RNAcentral describes it as "HSALNT0373060". The record is from RNAcentral. Lineage: Eukaryota; Metazoa; Chordata; Mammalia; Primates; Hominidae.